UCAUGGGUUACUUCUAGUACUUCCCACAUCUCUUUAGCUGAGUUGCAUUGGGACACUCUAAAGAAUUCAUCCAUAUUCAAUGCAGAGGUGAUGAUGUUCUUGGCUAAGGAGUCAUAUUGAGCCUUCUUCCUUUCAGUUUCACUCCCAGACCAAGGCUUCUUCACAGUUUCUUCUUUGACAACCUGCAUAGGUACAAAAGAUCCAUUUGCC
RNAcentral lists this long non-coding RNA (210 nucleotides) under Phaseolus vulgaris (common bean). Its description in RNAcentral is "long non-coding RNA (PVUL_LNC003349)". Lineage: Eukaryota; Viridiplantae; Streptophyta; Magnoliopsida; Fabales; Fabaceae. The record is from RNAcentral.